Vicia villosa (hairy vetch) is the source of this 279-nucleotide long non-coding RNA. RefSeq lists it as uncharacterized. The record is from RefSeq and is a predicted model, not a curated record. The transcript is spliced from 3 exons. NCBI's taxonomy places the organism in Eukaryota, Viridiplantae, Streptophyta, Magnoliopsida, Fabales, Fabaceae.
GUUUUGAGUUUUUAACAAUUUAAAGACAUGAAGCGGCUCCGAAUGUGCAGACAGAUGGUGAAAACCAAGUUACAUGGCUAUUAUAAUAUGCUAACAUUUUGGGCAAUUGAAAUCAUCAUCAAAUAUUCAGCAACAUGCCCAACAGCAAACUUUGCAGCCUGUUUUACAAGAAAUGAAGUUAAUGACAAAUGCAUUAAGAAGAUUUGAAGGGCCAAGAGGAGCUUGGUGCUGCAAGUUUGCAAGAACAUGAAGAGAUCACAAAGUUGAAAAAUAUAGCUG